Molecule: ribosomal RNA, 202 nt
Filed under: uncultured Glomeromycotina
Lineage: Eukaryota; Fungi; Glomeromycota
Description: partial large subunit ribosomal RNA
Source: RNAcentral
CAGUCAUGCCGGUGAGAAAUCAGCUUACAGGCUACUGUGAGUGCACUUUUUCGCAAGGCAGGUUAACAUCGGUUUCUGUUGCGUUAUAAUGAUUGUAGGAAGGUGGCUCCUUCGGGAGUGUUAUAGCCUACUUUAGAUGGCGUGACGGGGACUGAGGAUUGCAGCGGAUGCUUUGCUACGGAUCUUGCCUCUGUCGAUCUUC